AUUGAACGCUGGCGGCAUGCUUUACACAUGCAAGUCGAACGGUAACAGGUUAAGCUGACGAGUGGCGAACGGGUGAGUAAUGCAUCGGAACGUGCCCGAUCGUGGGGGAUAACGCAGCGAAAGCUGCGCUAAUACCGCAUACGAUCUGAGGAUGAAAGCGGGGGACAGUAAGGCCUCGCGCGAUCGGAGCGGCCGAUGUCAGAUUAGGUAGUUGGUGGGGUAAAGGCUCAACAAGCCAACGAUCUGUAGCUGGUCUGAGAGGACGACCAGCCACACUGGGACUGAGACAAGGCCCAGACUCCUACGGGAGGCAGCAGUGGGGAAUUUUGGACAAUGGGCGAAAGCCUGAUCCAGCAAUGCCGCGUGCAGGAAGAAGGCCUUCGGGUUGUAAACUGCUUUUGUACGGAGCGAAAAGGCCCUCUCUAAUACAGUGGGCUCAUGACGGUACCGUAAGAAUAAGCACCGGCUAACUACGUGCCAGCCGCCGCAGUAA
Molecule: ribosomal RNA, 493 nt
Filed under: uncultured bacterium
Lineage: Bacteria
Description: partial 16S ribosomal RNA
Rfam family: Bacterial small subunit ribosomal RNA
Source: RNAcentral